UGAGCUUGUAACCCAAGUGGGGGCAUCAAGGUGUCUGGACACUGUUCAAGCCCACUGACUGGAUUUAGGUUUGCAUCAAACUGGUCUACCCAUUCCAAGCAAGGAAUUGCACCAUGUGGUUCAAGCGAAGGUUCAAGCUGCUUGGUUCCUAAAGCAGAGGAGACCGCGUCAGGCUGGCUUCACAGAGCAGCGAUGACCUCUCGUUUCUUGCAGUGGAAGGAUAACGGGCCGGUGCUUCCUGAUCCAGAAAAGUCAG
This 256-nucleotide signal recognition particle RNA is filed under the name Olea europaea subsp. europaea. It matches the Rfam family "Plant signal recognition particle RNA", at positions 17 to 275 of the family's 305-position model. The record is from RNAcentral. Lineage: Eukaryota; Viridiplantae; Streptophyta; Magnoliopsida; Lamiales; Oleaceae.